Molecule: non-coding RNA, 363 nt
Organism: Pelobates cultripes (western spadefoot toad)
Lineage: Eukaryota; Metazoa; Chordata; Amphibia; Anura; Pelobatidae
Source: the annotation of a GenBank genome assembly
GUGUGUGUGUGUGUAUGCCAGUAUGUCUGUGUGUAUGUCAGUAUGUCUGUGUGUGUGUGUGUGUCAGUAUGUCUGUGUGUAUGCCAGUAUGUCAGUGUGUGUGUGUGUGUGUGUAUAUGUCUGUGUGUGUGUGUGUCAGUAUGUCUGUGUGUAUGCCAGUAUGUCAGUGUGUGUGUGUCUGUGUGUGUGUUUCAGUAUGUUUGUGUGUAUGCCAGUAUGUCUGUGUGUGUGUAUGUAGGUAUGUCUCUGUGUGUGUGUGUACGUGUGUGUCAGUAUGUCUGCCAGGAUAUAUUUGUGUGUCAGUGUAUGUGUGUCAGUAUGUAUCUGUGAAUGUUUUAAUGUCUGUCUGUGUGUAUGUGCCAG